GAGAUUGCUUCCUGUCUAGCCUCAAGGCUCUGUCCUCUGAAAGCCACGCUUGGGAUCUUCAGGUAACAGAAUAUUGGCAUGUAGCACUCCUCAAAACAUAGAAAGCAGAAACAAAUCAAUUCUGCCUGGAGGACCUCCCCGAUCUCAACACCCAGUGGUUUUGACAGAAUUGAUAUAGAAAUAGAAGCUUCAAGCAACCUUACGAUGGAGGCAGAAGAAGGAUUCUAUGGUUGGAAACCUGCCAGACUCACAGGCUACGGAGAAGAAAGGCUAAAUCCACCAGACUGUUGGAUGCACCUAAAACAAAUUGCCCUCCGUGGCUUGGUUUCUUAUUAAUAUACUCAUAGAAAUGCACAAGAACUGAAAGCUCGAUAGGGAAACCAAAAAAUAAAAAUUAAAA
RNAcentral lists this long non-coding RNA (400 nucleotides) under Homo sapiens (human). Its description in RNAcentral is "non-protein coding lnc-SHISA9-3:3". The record is from RNAcentral. Lineage: Eukaryota; Metazoa; Chordata; Mammalia; Primates; Hominidae.